GAGUGGCAAUAUUACUUUGCUUGGAGGCUUCAUCAACUUCAAUUGCUUUAUUGUCUUCCACUUCUGGUAGUUUGUCCUCAUGAACCUGCUGAUCAUCACCAUUUGGCUCACCAUCUACUGCUGGCUUCUCAAGGGUAGAAACUAUGUGUUCUUGCUGAUCUUCUGGUUCCAUGGCUUCAAUAUCUCUUGUUUCUUCUGUUAAGCCCAGUUCUUGUACUUCUUGGACAUCAGGAGUUGGUUCAAUUCUUGGUACUUGAUCUGCCUCUCCAGGAGUAGGAAAGCUACUGAUAUGUGAGAAUUCUUCAGUUUUGUCAUCUUCACUGUCCUUGAUUUCUUGAGAUGUCAGAUUCUGCACUUCUUGUGUGUUAAAAGAUGGGUCUGUUACUGAUGUAUUUUCUUCUGUUGGAGUAUGAUCAUCAGAAGUAGAACCAUGGGUCUCUCCUGGAUGUUCCGUUGUGUCAGUGCUGUCUUCAACUGAUUCUAGUUCACGAACAGGUUCACUACCAGUACGUGGGGCAUUUGGUGUUGAAGUAUCGUCUUCAGUGCUCUCCUUUAUAUCUGCAACAUUACUCUCAUGAGGGACUGCUUCAGUCUCCAUGGUUUCCAGGAUCUUUUCUGAUGUAUAGUCACUUGAUGUCAUAACAUCCUCUGUUUCAAUUGUUCCUGUGUCCUUGGUCUCUUCU
RNAcentral lists this long non-coding RNA (683 nucleotides) under Sorghum bicolor (sorghum). Its description in RNAcentral is "long non-coding RNA (SBIC_LNC005932)". Lineage: Eukaryota; Viridiplantae; Streptophyta; Magnoliopsida; Poales; Poaceae. The record is from RNAcentral.